AGCAGCCGCGGUAAUUCCAGCUCCAAUAGCGUAUAUUAAAGUUGUUGCAGUUAAAAAGCUCGUAGUUGAAUUUCGGGGUCAGUAGGUUGGUCAUGCCACUGGUAUGUACUGGUCUCACUGAUUCCUCCUUCCUGAUGAGCCGUAAUGCCAUUAAUUUGGUGUUGCGAGGAAUCUGGACUGUUACUCUGAAAAAAUUAGAGUGUUUAAAGCAGGCUAACGCUUGAAUACAUUAGCAUGGAAUAGUGAAAUAGGACGUUCGAUCUUAUUUUGUUGGUUUCUAAGAUUGACGUAAUGAUUAAUAGGGAUAGUUGGGGGCAUUAGUAUUCAAUUGUCAGAGGUGAAAUUCUUGGAUUUAUUGAAGACUAACUACUGCGAAAGCAUUUGCCAAGGAUGUUUUCAUUAAUCAAGAACGAAAGUUAGGGGAUCGAAGACGAUCAGAUACCGUCGUAG
RNAcentral lists this ribosomal RNA (450 nucleotides) under uncultured Glomus. RNAcentral describes it as "SSU rRNA". It matches the Rfam family "Eukaryotic small subunit ribosomal RNA", at positions 569 to 1023 of the family's 1831-position model. The record is from RNAcentral. Lineage: Eukaryota; Fungi; Glomeromycota; Glomeromycetes; Glomerales; Glomeraceae.